UCGAGAGGCCUUUAGAGUUUUCGAUAAAGACGGAAAAGGUUAUCUCACAGUAUCAGAGUUUCAGCACAUCAUGGGAAAUCUUGGAGAAAAAAUGACAUGGGAAGAAACGGAGGAGAUGAUAGAAGAGGUCGACACGGAUGGUGAUGGAAAAAUUUCUUGUGACGGUACACAUAUUUACUUGUGUAAAGCCAACAAAAAAAUAUGUGUGUUUCCUAUUUCCCUAUUUCCCCUGUACUUUAAGCUUAGAAACAGCCUAGCUUAUUUUUUAAUUAUUUUUUUUUUUGGGGGGGGGGCAUUUUUCAAUAAGCACUGUUAAAGUCAGAAUUUCUCUCCGGACCGAUAGCUCCAUCGUAAAAAAAAAAUUGUUACAUAAAACAAAAUCCGUACCUAUAUACAUAUAGCUACGUUGUAUCUACCCUAUUUUUUCAAAGAGGCCUAAUUAAAAGUUGAAGUCUGAACUUUGCUACUGUUCUGAUGAACAAACAUAUAGAAAUGAUUAAUGAAAAAAUGCCCAAAAUAAUAACUUUUAAAGAAUCAAUUCCAUUCAAAGUUUGGGAAAGAUGGAUUUACGACCCGGUGUAGGAGUAAAAAUGGUCCGUUAUGAAAUUAUGUCCAUCGGCCACAUUUUCACAGUGAAUUGUGUCUACACAAUGGUAUUAUGAAAUAUCAUCCGGACAAUAAUAUAUUCCCUAUGAAAUCGUGUCCACAGAAUGAAAAGGGUGCCCUUCAAAGAAAGGACAAUGUUUCAUACGGAAAAAGUGUCCAUCAUAUAAAGGAAUAAAUAUAAAUGGUUAAUAACCCUAGUAUCGCAAUAAAGCAAAAUCUUACAAACCACUCAAUUAAACAACACCUUGUCUUGACCUUCUUUGCACGGUGACUCUUUAAUAAUUAGUCUUUUUCAAAGCCUUAGUUAAAGAUUGAAAAUUGUAAAAAUUUCAAGCAAUCAAUUGAAAGAGUAGGGAAAUUGAACUAUGUAAUUAAAAACAUUAUGUCAACAAAUAACAAAAAAAAAUAAAAAUUAAUAAAACAAAACAAAAAAGACAAACAGUUUACCAACAUAACAGAGAAAAUAAAAAAUUGAGCAACACGAAACUACACCAACGUUACCUAGGUUACUUGAAUAUGGUGACACAAUUCUUUAAAAGAGAGGAUGACUUAAAAAAAAAAGUGUUAAGCAGACGCCAAAUAUGAUUUAUUCUAGCAAAAUGUAUAUACUAUGUAAGUUUUGUUCCUCUAUUUGGUAAUCAUGUACAUAUAAAGUCGAUGUAGGAACAUUCGAAAUGUCCAUGGUUGUAGUAUACAAAGAAAACCUAAAACAUUUAACAUUUAAAAAUCUAUUAUAAUUAUGCGAUUUCAAUUGUUUUAAAUUCACGAUCUUGCAGCUGCUGGUGUGUCAUAUUCAUCUUUAAUCCUAUGGUUUGUUAUUUCUAUGGAAUACAUUUGUAGCAAUAUUUAUUCAAACAAUACAUGUAUUAAGUUAUUUAAGCAAUUUCUUUUUUAAAUUAAUUGAAUUAGUCGUCUCUUUUCAGAUUUCAUAAAAAUAGUUACUACGACAGAGUAAAGCCGUUUUUGUAUUGAUUGGUAAUGCAAAACCAUUAGCUUGAGAAUGACUUAACAAUAUUUCAUUAUGGAGUGAUGUUCAACGAAACGAAACAAAAUUGUGAUCAACGCAAAUGUUGAACAACAAAUACACUAUUUUUGUUUUGAAUAUUUUUGGCGGGAAAAUUAGCAAACACCGACAAAAGUGAGAGGGAGAUAGAUAUAAAA
This 1767-nucleotide long non-coding RNA is filed under the name Mytilus galloprovincialis (Mediterranean mussel). The record is from RNAcentral. Lineage: Eukaryota; Metazoa; Mollusca; Bivalvia; Mytilida; Mytilidae.